Molecule: unclassified non-coding RNA, 253 nt
Filed under: uncultured Micrococcaceae bacterium
Lineage: Bacteria; Bacillati; Actinomycetota; Actinomycetes; Micrococcales; Micrococcaceae
Description: contains 16S-23S intergenic spacer region
Rfam family: Bacterial small subunit ribosomal RNA
Source: RNAcentral
UACGUAGGGCGCAAGCGUUAUCCGGAAUUAUUGGGCGUAAAGAGCUCGUAGGCGGCUUGUCACGUCAGCCGUGAAAGUCCGGGGCUCAACUCCGGACCUGCGGUGGGUACGGGCAGGCUAGAGUGAUGUAGGGGAGACUGGAAUUCCUGGUGUAGCGGUGAAAUGCGCAGAUAUCAGGAGGAACGCCGAUGGCGAAGGCAGGUCUCUGGGCAUUAACUGACGCUGAGGAGCGAAAGCAUGGGGAGCGAACAGG